This 329-nucleotide unclassified non-coding RNA is filed under the name soil metagenome. RNAcentral's name for it is "partial contains 5.8S ribosomal RNA, internal transcribed spacer 2, and large subunit ribosomal RNA". The stretch from base 1 to 120 matches the Rfam family "5.8S ribosomal RNA", at positions 35 to 154 of the family's 154-position model. The record is from RNAcentral.
GAUGAAGAACGCAACGAAAUGCGAUAAGUAGUGUGAAUUGCAGAAUUCAGUGAAUCAUCGAAUCUUUGAACGCACAUUGCGCCCCUUGGUAUCCCGAGGGGCAUGCCUGUUCGAGCGUCAUUUCACCACUCAAGCCUGGCUUGGUGUUGGGCGACGUCCUCUUUGGGGACGCGCCUCGAAACGCUCGGCGGCGUGGCACCGGCUUUAAGCGUAGCAGAAUCUUUCGCUUUGGAAGUCGGGGCCCCGUCUGCCGGAAGACCUGCUCGCAAGGUUGACCUCGGAUCAGGCAGGGAUACCCGCUGAACUUAAGCAUAUCAAUAAGCGGAGGA